This 66-nucleotide transfer RNA is filed under the name Sphenacris crassicornis. Its description in RNAcentral is "tRNA-Ile". Lineage: Eukaryota; Metazoa; Arthropoda; Insecta; Orthoptera; Pyrgomorphidae. The record is from RNAcentral.
AAUGAGAUGCCUGAUAAAAGGAUUAUCUUGAUAGGGUAAAUAAUGUAAAAAGAAUUACUCUCAUUA